CAGCCGCCACGGUAAUACGUAGGUGGCAAGCGUUGUCCGGAAUUAUUGGGCGUGAAGGGCUCGCAGGCGGUUUCUUAAGUCUGGUGUGAAAGCCCCCGGCUCGACCGGGGAGGGUCAUUGGAAACUGGGAAACUUGAGUGCAGAAGAGGAGAGUGGAACUCCACGUGUAGCGGUGAAAUGCGUAGAGAUGUGGAGGAACACCAGUGGCGAAGGCGACUCUCUGGUCUGUAACUGACGCUGAGGAGCGAAAGCGUGGGGAGCGAACAGGAUUAGAUACCCGCGUAGUCCCUGUCUCUUAUAC
RNAcentral lists this ribosomal RNA (301 nucleotides) under uncultured bacterium. RNAcentral's name for it is "partial 16S ribosomal RNA". It matches the Rfam family "Bacterial small subunit ribosomal RNA", at positions 509 to 807 of the family's 1533-position model. The record is from RNAcentral.